UACGUAGGUGGCGAGCGUUGUCCGGAUUUACUGGGCGUAAAGGAUGCGUAGGCGGAUAUUUAAGUGAGAUGUGAAAUACCCGAGCUUAACUUGGGUGCUGCAUUUCAAACUGGAUAUCUAGAGUGUGGGAGAGGAGAAUGGAACUCCUAGUGUAGCGGUGAAAUGCGUAGAGAUUAGGAAGAACACCAGUAGCGAAGGCGAUUCUCUGGACCAUAACUGACGCUGAGGCAUGAAAGCGUGGGGAGCAAACAGG
Molecule: ribosomal RNA, 253 nt
Filed under: uncultured bacterium
Lineage: Bacteria
Description: partial 16S ribosomal RNA
Rfam family: Bacterial small subunit ribosomal RNA
Source: RNAcentral